Molecule: ribosomal RNA, 254 nt
Filed under: uncultured bacterium
Lineage: Bacteria
Description: partial 16S ribosomal RNA
Rfam family: Bacterial small subunit ribosomal RNA
Source: RNAcentral
GACGUAGGGAGCAAGCGUUGUCCGGAUUCAUUGGGCGUAAAGGGUCCGUAGGCGGCUCAGCAAGUCAGGUGUGAAAUCUCCAGGCUCAACCUGGAGGGGCCACCUGAUACUGCUGUGGCUUGAGUCCAGUAGGGGAGCAUGGAAUUCCCGGUGUAGCGGUGAGAUGCGCAGAUAUCGGGAGGAACACCAGUGGCGAAGGCGGUGCUCUGGGCUGGAACUGACGCUGAUGGACGAAAGCGUGGGUAGCAAACAGG